UACGAAGGGGGCGAGCGUUGUUCGGAUUUACUGGGCGUAAAGGGCGCGCAGGCGGCUCAUUUUGUCAGGCGUGAAAGCCCCGGGCUUAACCUGGGAACUGCGUUUGAUACGGAUGGGCUAGAGUUCGGGAGAGGAGAGUGGAAUUCCCAGUGUAGAGGUGAAAUUCGUAGAUAUCAGGAGGAACACCGGUGGUGUAGACGGCUUUCUGGACCGUAACUGACGCUGAGACACGAAAGCGUGGGUAGCAAACAGG
This 253-nucleotide ribosomal RNA is filed under the name uncultured bacterium. RNAcentral describes it as "partial 16S ribosomal RNA". It matches the Rfam family "Bacterial small subunit ribosomal RNA", at positions 524 to 776 of the family's 1533-position model. The record is from RNAcentral.